Molecule: ribosomal RNA, 270 nt
Filed under: uncultured bacterium
Lineage: Bacteria
Description: partial 16S ribosomal RNA
Rfam family: Bacterial small subunit ribosomal RNA
Source: RNAcentral
GAUGAACGCUGGCGGCGUGCUUAACACAUGCAAGUCGAACGGUGAAAGAGGAGCUUGCUCCUCUGGAUCAGUGGCGAACGGGUGAGUAACACGUGAGCAAUCUGCCCUGGACUCUGGGAUAAGCGUUGGAAACGACGUCUAAUACCGGAUACGCGACGCGAAGGCAUCUUCAGCGUCGGGAAAGAACUUCGGUCCAGGAUGAGCUCGCGGCCUAUCAGCUAGUUGGUGAGGUAACGGCCCACCAAGGCGACGACGGGUAGCCGGCCUGAG